AAAGCGUGCGCAGGCGGUUAUGUAAGACAGAUGUGAAAUCCCCGGGCCUCAACCUGGGAACUGCAUUUGUGACUGCAUGGCUAGAGUACGGUAGAGGGGGAUGGAAUUCCGCGUGUAGCAGUGAAAUGCGUAGAUAUGCGGAGGAACACCGAUGGCGAAGGCAAUCCCCUGGACCUGUACUGACGCUCAUGCACGAAAGCGUGGGGAGCAAACAGGAUUAGAUACCCUGU
RNAcentral lists this ribosomal RNA (230 nucleotides) under uncultured bacterium. RNAcentral describes it as "partial 16S ribosomal RNA". It matches the Rfam family "Bacterial small subunit ribosomal RNA", at positions 562 to 790 of the family's 1533-position model. The record is from RNAcentral.